CCCGCCUGAAGAUUUGAGUGCGUGGUUCCGGCCCUUCUGCCUGGAGUGUCCUUGGAUUCUGGGAAAUACACCUGACUAGGCCCCAGGGUCACGAUAGAUAUGGGAGUGAAGGUUCUGGACCACAGAGGAGAAGUUAACUGUGACUGGAGAGCCAAGGAGGGCUUGAUGGACAAGGAACCAUCUGGAUUGGGUCUUGAAGGCAAUAAACAAAAAAUCCUCAUCAACACUGUGCUCCAAUGGGCACUGCCUAUCGACUGGAGAAGGGAGCAGCGUGGCCAACAGCCUCCGGACUGGCAGCGUGUGUUCAGGCUUCCCUGGGAGGCCCAGGCCCCAUUCUUGCCACAGAGACCACCCCAGAGGCCUCGGGGAGGACAGGCUUCUUUACCAUGUCAAGUGGUUAUUUCCACAUUGACCCAUUUGACUCUGUAAAUCACUUUCUUGAAUGCGAGAUAGUAAAGGGCAAAAGUUAUUUCUUUCCUAUUCUUUUAAUUGCCAGGAUCAAUAGGCACAAUUGAUUUGAAUUGAGAAAUAGUCUCCAGGUAACAUUUAGGGACAAUCAUUGAGAUCGGCACAUUGAGAGUGACUGUGUGCUGCCCUCCGAGGGGACUGCCUCUGGGGUUCUGUCCACCGCAGCGAAGCCAGGGGGACGGCCUCUGCGCGGUCAGUUGGAUAGGCUGUGUCUGCUUCUGCUUGGUUGAGGUCAUGGGAGGGUCAGGCCCUGAAACUACGCUGGAGGGCGGGGGUCUGUGCUCCACGCCUCAUGGCCCGGUGCUGGGGAGAGGUCUCUGAGCAGCGGCCGGCCCCCGGGAGCGCCCAGGCUGACUUGCAUCUCCUUGGCUCUCUCACUCAGGAGCUCCACUGUGAUGGGGUCUGCCCUCUGAGGCCCCUUUCUGCGGGAGUUUGCUGCCAUCACAACUGGAGGGGACAGCGACCCUGUCCUUUGGGUCUCUGUUCUGGGUGGUGUGAGGCAGGGACCAUGUGAUCAGCCUGUGCAUAUGACCCCCCUGGUGGCCUGCGCCUUUCUGUAACUAAUGGGAGGAACGGUUGGUCUCAGAAGAGAAGCCGGUUUCCAGCCCAAUACUUGAGGAGUGAUAUUAAAGGGAGAAAGAAAUUCUGUUGACUCCUAAUAUCCUACCUUGGUUAGACAGCUCGUCAAUAGGAUUGGGGGACAGGAUUGAUCUUUCGCUUAUAAUGCAGAACAUUCAAUGGAUAGCAAAAGUGCUUUUAAAAGGGGCCCAUGGAACACUUUGAAAAUAUUAAUUAGUGUGUUGAAGCAUUCUGCACAGCAUAUCAUAGUGAAACUGCUCCAGGGGGUUGCUUGAGAUGAAUUAUUAAUAAGCAUCCCUCUCCACCCUGCACCUCCCACCCUGAUUUGAUGGGAGUGGGUGUGGGUUGGGUGUCUGUUAGAUGCAUUCACUGCUCAUUUCAUGCAAAUGGGGCAGUUGGGGUCACCUAUGUUUGGGGCCCGUGUGUCUGGAAAAGAAGACAUACCCCGAACACCAACAACACACACUGGAGGAGAGAGGCUGUGCUGGAAGUGACUGCGUUGGGUCUGGUUCUUGAUAUUCCAAUUGGAAACCAAAUGGGUAUGGCUUUUGGGGGUGAGUUUAAGGUUUCUUAAGGAUUCACGCCAGAGAGUGAGGGUGACAAGGCUCAGGAAGCAGCAGCUUUUCAGAACGAUCAGAGAAACCUGGGAGGCUUCUUUCUAGAAUCCUCGGACACCCGCUUUGUCUGUAUCACGGGUGGGAGGAACCACCAUUCCCUUCCCAACUGAUCUGAGUGGUGGCCCGAAUUCGCCAAAGCGUAUGGAAAUACAACGCCCCCUAAACAAGUUAGUGGGCCGAUUCUGAGCUGAGAGCGAAGCCUGCCUUUUCCUGUUUUCAGAAGCAUAGAUUUGUAGAAAUAUAAACAUAUUAGGCAGGGCAUUUUGCUUUAGAAUUGUAAACUAAUUCAAUCCAGGAUCAUCGGACUACUUAUAGUUCUGUAGAAGUGAACAAUCAGGAUCGGUGGGUUAAUCUAGCUAUUGUGAGCCUUCCUUACCUUGGAAAUAAGCCAAGGCAUGAAUUCACAGGAAUGCCUCCGACAGCCCCUCGUUUGUCUGCUUUUGUUCCUUCCCUCCCCCAACUCAUUUCACACUUUGCACUUACGGACUCCACGUCUUUUUUCUUUAAAAAAAAUAUGUACAGAUGUCUUGGCUUGCUGGAAAACACUCAAAAACUCUGUCUGUAAUGAUGGAGAUUUUCGACAUUAUUGGAGAUGUAGACCAUCAGAUGAAAUGGUAAAUUUUCCACUUUAAUUUUAUGGGUGUUCACUGUUUUCAGGAUAUAAAAGAAAUGGCCUUUCCAGUUUAAAAAUGAAUUAGUCAACUGGACUUCUUUGUUCGAUAGGUUUUACAAGGAUAACUCUGGUCUCUUGGGCCAUACAAAUGUGCCUUUCUCCCCCAAAAGUUUGAGGUGUCAUAUUGGACUCCUUUGUGUAACUCUCCAGGGAAAACCGCAAACCCUAAGCUUAACUGGAAUUUUCGUGUUGACAACUUCCUGCAAUUAUCCUAGGAGCCGAUCGUUAGCAGUGGACUGUGUUCAGGCAGGGAGGGACGCAGUAGCCGGGGACGCUUCUGAAACACCACCCAGACGCCUCUGCCUUUUAUGGAGUUAAGAGCCUGACAAAUUUUCCUGAGGAAGCCGUCCUCGCACACCGCGGACGUUAUUGGCACCACGUCCUCUUGAGCGGGUUCUGUAGCCAACUGAUUAAUAUUUUAAGCAUGUAGACGACCUCCAGACCUUCUGAGUCAAAUUUCUCUCUCUCCAUCUUUCUUUCUCUAUGUCUGUCCCUCCUGGAAAAAAAAAAAGACUUCUCAGCUAAAGGUCUCUAUGAAAUUUCACUUCCCUGGUGCGAUAUUAUUAUUUUAUUCACUUCAUUUCGUCAGAAUGAAGCCUAGAUUUAAAAGAGAAAAAUUAGCGCUGCCAACAGUGAAAGCACAAUCGGACACCCUCCCGGUGUCAUUUGGGGAGGGGUCUCCUUUUUGGAGAGCGUGACCCGGCCGGCCGUGCGCAGAACCUGCUGUCCAUCUCCAGCGCAAGCUGAGCGAAGGACGAAGAAGGGAAAGGAAAUGAGCCCUGAGAUUCUGCGGCCGUGUUCCUCACCUCACACAUGGACAAAGGAAUCUGCAGCCAGCAGCCUUGUGUGUGUGUGCGUGUGUGCGUGUGUCAGGGGGGCUUGCUAGAAAUUGCAAAGUUUUAUUUUUAUUUAUUGUUUGGUGAUGAUUUAGAUACCCCACGCUGCCAAAUCAUAAACAGAAGGAAGCCCACGUUUGGCUUUUAUCAGCUAAGAGAAUUAAGGUUAUUUUUUUCCUUGACUUUUUUUUUUUUUAACAGCCCCAGUGCCUUGGCCAGAUUCCAGUUCAGGUAAUUACAUUCUGUCUUCCUAAAUUCCCCUGUAACUCCAAUUGGGCAAGCUGCUCUUCACUUCUCUCCUAGAAGCUGCUGUGCCGGGUGCCUGGCAUCAAACGGGGUGGCAUUCCAGGAGUGGUCCCAAGGUGUUCCGCUGGAAAUGCAUUUCCAGCGGCUUCUGCAUGCAGGGCUUGCGUGCAAAUGGAAGUAGUAUUAUUUAUUGCUCUUUUCCAUCAGCAGCUGCCAACCCCGAAACUAUCUCUGAAUGACAUUUUAAAUAUGAAGGCCAGGGUCAUUAGGAUGAUGAGAUACAAGGGUCCAUUUUGUUCACCUCUAGAAUUAUUGGGUGACUGAACGGGACCGGGGACUGAAAAGAAGGAGAACACAUCUGUCACGGGAAAUAAUUCCUUUUCCACAAAACGGCUCUUUUUUUUUUCUUAUUUGUAUGUUUGCUGUCUCCCGAUUAAAAUUAAGGAGGAUUAUUGGGCGUUGUUUUUGUUUUUGUUUUUCUAGGGAUGAAUGGAAAUGGGGGUGUUUUCCAUGUGCAGGAGUAAAAUACCAUUGGCUUUUUAAAAAGUCAAUUUCUUUACAGCUGAUUUUUCAAAUAUUUAUUGAGUACCUGCCAUACACCAGACCUUGUCAGAGGGCUUUUUAGGCCACAAAAGCGCUUAUUGUUUUUAUCCUUUUCAUUAAUAUUUAUUUUAAUUAUGGAUAUUAAUGUUUUCUUCAAAAACAAUGAAAGUAAUUCCUAUAAAAUAGCAUCUGUACAGAUGACCAAUUCUGAAAUAACACGCUCGUGUUUACACAAUACGUCAUAAUGCCCUGUGUAGAUGGCUGAUGUUAAUGAAAAUAGAUUUCCCAAGAUUGACACCAAUAGUCACCACAAAAUAGAAUUUAGGAUGUGUACUGAAAGACCAGGAAGAAAUGGGAUAUAUGAAAAGCACUUUCAUUUUAAAGAUAAACACAAGAGUAAAGUGAUUCUUUUUCUAGUUGCCAGUACAGCUUCAGGAAACUGCUGCCACGGGCCUAUUGUCAAUUCUGUUUGUUUCCUGAUUCCUACUAACCCAGGAGGUGAAGGUGUGGUAGACAGUAUUUCUGAAAGAGACUGAGUUGAUGCUGUGGGCAUGCGCCAUGUUGUGCAGUCCUAGUCUUGGUCUUCCCACAUCCUGAAAGCACACAGAUCCUCCUAGCACUUUUAAUUUUUAUUUUCUGUUAGCUUUAAUUUUCCCAACUCUGCAUCCUUCCACCACGAGGUGCCAUAAAUUGAUGGUGCUAUCCAUUUACAGGUGGUGAUCAAAGCUACUCUGAGGGAACCGACGACCACGUCUGACGAUGGUCCUAUCAUCCUGUGUUUGGAUAAUAAUUUCUUUUCGCCCUCUCACUCCCCCAAUAGAGUCAUUCUUUACAAAGCGUCGAGUCCAGGCAGAUAUUAAACAACUCAGCUCAACCCAGGGAUCUCCUCUGGGCUUGUAACUCUAGUGAAUUGCAUUUUUUCCUAAUUACAGGAAAAAUAGCAAAUUGGCAAACAUCAGGAAGUGGGUACACCCCCUCUGAUUUACAAGGAAGAGUGUAGGGUGACUUUACAGCUCAGGAAUUCAGUGAAAUAAAUUUAUGGUUAGAAAAAUUCAUGUUCUUAAUGUGAUGAAGGUCCUUUAACUUUUAACACGCUUCUCCAGUUAAGCUGUGCAGGACUCACACGGAAAUGGCUGUCUACAGCUGCUGCAAAUUGAUUUAUCCCCAGAUAAUAGUCAGAGCUGCAGACCAAAUUGUUGGAAAGAAACAGUUCUUUAAUUUCGGUGUUUGGGGCUGUCUAUAUAUUGUUUAUGCAUAUUCCCGUUGUGUAUAUGAGCAGAGAUUUGUGGUGGCCUAGCUUUUCCGGGCAAUCAGGGUAAUUUCCCUCUAGCCCCGAGGGCCGGCACUGCCGAGGAUCUCUGUAUACCGCCUCCUCGCCGGGGGCUGCAGCCCACAGCAACUCCUUCCUUGGCAUUCGUGGAAUUCUUCAAAGAGUCAGGUGGUCUACGUGAGAAAUUACGGAAUCAAUGUCUAUGACAAUACUAAUUUGUGUUUGGAAAAUUAUAUUUUGAGGAUCUGCAGAAAUUGUUUGCAUUGUGAAAGUGAUGAAUUUGCUCCACUUAUGUUGUUUUCUUGGAAUGACAGAGGCAUGGCCCCAAUCCUGAUAUGUUUUGGCUUCUUUGGGGCUUCCCAGUCCAUCUCUCCAGAGGGAGCAGAGCCAGACACCAGGUACUGGGGAGACCUGUGCCUUCAUUCAGUAAAUAUUUCCUGAGCAUCUACUAUGUGCAAAGCUGUGUGUAAGGCCUGGGCGAUGGGGGUGGAUGAACCAGAUGCCACCUCUGCCCCCCUAGGGUUUGUAAUCCAUUGAGAGAAAAUAAAACAAGCAAACAGAUAAAUGCACAAAUCAUCACCAGUUGUGGAAGGUACCCCCAAAGAAAAAAUACAGGAGUUAUAAGAGAGAAUACAGGGUCACUGCUGUAGGGGGCCCCUUGAAGGUGGCGACAGGAAGGCAGAGGCAUUCAGCCCCCAGCCCUCUCUGCUACGAUUUCAGGGGCAUACCUUGCUUCUCUCGGCCAGAAGGAAUCUUGGGGAGGUGCUACUGGCCCGGGGAUGAAUCACAGGCUGGUCAUGGCAUAAGGCUCUGUGGGGUUCCGCCCAACCCUGAAGCCUCUGCCUUCUCCCAGGUUCCCAGGUCACCCUGUGUCAGCACUGGUCAGUUGGGCUCU
This is a non-coding RNA of Equus caballus (horse), 6127 nucleotides long. Lineage: Eukaryota; Metazoa; Chordata; Mammalia; Perissodactyla; Equidae. The record is from RefSeq and is a predicted model, not a curated record.